RNAcentral lists this ribosomal RNA (753 nucleotides) under Mughiphantes nigromaculatus. Its description in RNAcentral is "eukaryotic LSU rRNA". It matches the Rfam family "Eukaryotic large subunit ribosomal RNA", at positions 378 to 874 of the family's 3401-position model. The record is from RNAcentral. Lineage: Eukaryota; Metazoa; Arthropoda; Arachnida; Araneae; Linyphiidae.
GAAGAGAGAGUUCAAGAGUACGUGAAACUGCUUAGAGGUAAACGGGUGGGCCCUCGAAAUCCUGUGGCGGGAGUAUUCAGUCGGAACGUCGCGUCGUGAAGCUGGGCAGUCCAGAAAGGUUCCCGUGACGGGGCCGGCCCGGCGAACGUUGCGUGGCGAACUGACGCAUUUGUUCCCGCCCGAAGGACGCCGCAUCCGGUUGGGGGACGGCCUGAAAAGCGAGAGUCGGCAGGUGGCCGGCGGCGCGCCUCGUGCGAGUCGUCGGUUGUUAGCCUUCUUGCAGGACGGCUCGUUCCCCGACCGCGUCAAAAGGCCUGUAUGGGCUUGGUCGUCUCCUCCCUAACGUGCGGGUGAAUAAGACUGGCAAGCGCUGAGAGAGGUUCUAUGCACACGGACCGCGAUUCGUGGCACUGACCUCUCCGCCACUGAUGGCCUGUGUCGCGCCCUGCGGGUUGAGAUCGGCGGUUGGCGGCGAGUAGAUCGGUCACCCACCUGACCCGUCUUGAAACACGGACCAAGGAGUUUAGCAUGUGCGCGAGUCAAUGGGUCUCGAAUAAGCCCAGCGGCGAAAUGAAAGUAAAGGCCGGAGGACCGCCGGCCCCUCGGGACCCUGCUCCUUCGCGGGCGGGGCGCACCGAAGACCCGUCGCGUUCCACUUGUGGUUGUGGCGGAGUCCGAGCGCACACGCUAUGACCCGAAAGAUGGUGAACUAUGCCCGGACAGGACGAGGCCAGAGGAAACUCUGGUGGAGGU